This 376-nucleotide RNase P RNA is filed under the name Sphingomonas japonica. Its description in RNAcentral is "RNase P class A". It matches the Rfam family "Bacterial RNase P class A". From Rfam's summary of the family: Ribonuclease P (RNase P) is a ubiquitous endoribonuclease, found in archaea, bacteria and eukarya as well as chloroplasts and mitochondria. Its best characterised activity is the generation of mature 5'-ends of tRNAs by cleaving the 5'-leader elements of precursor-tRNAs. The record is from RNAcentral. Lineage: Bacteria; Pseudomonadati; Pseudomonadota; Alphaproteobacteria; Sphingomonadales; Sphingomonadaceae.
CCAGAGGGUCGGGCGGCCGCGUCGGGGAAACUCGCCGAGGAAAGUCCGGGCUCCGCGGAACGACGGUGCCGGGUAACGCCCGGCGGCCCCGGACUGGAUCCGAGGUCAGGGAAAGUGCCACAGAGAGCAGACGGCGACCGUUUCGACGACGCCACGGUGAAAGGGUGCGGCAAGAGCGCACCGCGCGGCUGGCAACAGCUGCGGCACGGCAAACCCCACCGGGAGCAAGACCGAAUAGGGACGGCAUAUGCGCCUCGUUCCGGCGCGUCGUCCGGGUUGGUCGCUAGAGGCGGCGCGCGAGCGUCGUCGUAGAGGAAUGGUCGCCCAUCCCCGGCAACGGGGUGGACAGAACCCGGCUUACAGACCCUCUGGUAUC